GACGAACGCUGGCGGCGUGCUUAACACAUGCAAGUCGAGCGAGAACCACGGGUGGGUAACCCACCUGUGGGGACAGCGGCGAACGGGUGCGUAACACGUGGGCAACCUGCCCCAGACUCUGGGAUAACCCCGGGAAACCGGGAGCUAAUACCGGAUACUCUCGGCCGGCCACAUGGUCGGCUGAGGAAAGGUCCGCCGGUCUGGGAUGGGCCCGCGGCCUAUCAGCUUGUUGGUGGGGUAACGGCCUACCAAGGCGACGACGGGUAGCUGGUCUGAGAGGAUGAUCAGCCACACUGGGACUGAGACACGGCCCAGACUCCUACGGGAGGCAGCAGUGGGGAAUAUUGGACAAUGGGCGCAAGCCUGAUCCAGCCACGCCGCGUGAGUGAUGAAGG
This 395-nucleotide ribosomal RNA is filed under the name uncultured bacterium. RNAcentral describes it as "bacterial SSU rRNA". It matches the Rfam family "Bacterial small subunit ribosomal RNA", at positions 28 to 414 of the family's 1533-position model. The record is from RNAcentral.